Molecule: ribosomal RNA, 497 nt
Filed under: uncultured bacterium
Lineage: Bacteria
Description: partial 16S ribosomal RNA
Rfam family: Bacterial small subunit ribosomal RNA
Source: RNAcentral
GAUGAACGCUGGCGGCGUGCCUAAUACAUGCAAGUCGAGCGAACAGAUGAGGAGCUUGCUCCGCUGACGUUAGCGGCGGACGGGUGAGUAACACGUGGAUAACCUACCUAUAAGACUGGGAUAAUCUCGGGAAACCGGAGCAUAUACCGGAUAAUAUAUUGAACCGUAGGGUGCAAUAGAGAAAGACGGCUUUGGUGGCAGGUAUAGAUGGAUCUGCGCCGCAUUAGCUAGUAGGGAAGGUAACGGGUUAUCAAGGCAACGAGGCGUAUCCGAGCUGUGAGAGUGGUCGCCCGCACUGGAACUGGACCACGGUCCAUGCUCCUACGGGAGGCAGCAGUAGGGAAUCUGCCGCAGUAGGGGGGAGUCUUGCGGAGCGGCGCCGCGCGAGUUGUGGAGGUCUUCCGAUCGUAAAGCUCUCUUAUUAGGGGAAAACAAAUGUGUAAGUAACUGUGCACGUCUUGACGGUAACUAGUCAGAAAGCCACGGCUAACUACGUG